CUCACUUCUUGCUUACUCCAUAGGGGAGUUCAAGACUAAUCUCUGAUUGGCGGAUUUUUUAGGACCUUGGAUUCACCAGAGGUUGCGGGUUUUAAAAGACUAUAUUCCCUGCAAACAGGAAAGUUGUCUUUUUUACGUGAUGGAGCACAAUGAGACAGGAUGCCAAGUUCCUCCUGAGGCUCCCAAGCUUUGUGUCAAUGGUUGUGGAUUCUUUGGUAGUGCAGCAACAAUGAACAUGUGUUCUAAGUGCCACAAAGACUUCAUACUGAAGCAAGAACACGCUAAACUUGCUUCAUCAUACCCUAGGUUUGCUGAGAAUGGAAGCUCUAGCAACACGACUGUUGGUGCUAUGGAUCUGCAACCUAGUUCAGCAGAGACUCCGGUCACC
RNAcentral lists this unclassified non-coding RNA (388 nucleotides) under Hevea brasiliensis (rubber tree). Lineage: Eukaryota; Viridiplantae; Streptophyta; Magnoliopsida; Malpighiales; Euphorbiaceae. The record is from RNAcentral.